GACGAACGCUGGCGGCGUGCUUAACACAUGCAAGUCGAACGGAAAGGCCCUGCUUUUGUGGGGUGCUCGAGUGGCGAACGGGUGAGUAACACGUGAGUAACCUGCCCUUGACUUUGGGAUAACUUCAGGAAACUGGGGCUAAUACCGGAUAGGAUCUCCUGCUGCAUGGUGGGGGUUGGAAAUUUUCGGCGGUUGGGGAUGGACUCGCGGCUUAUCAGCUUGUUGGUGGGGUAGUGGCUUACCAAGGCUUUGACGGGUAGCCGGCCUGAGAGGGUGACCGGCCACAUUGGGACUGCGAUACGGCCCAGACUCCUACGGGAGGCAGCAGUGGGGAAUAUUGCACAAUGGGCGGAAGCCUGAUGAAGCAACGCCGCGUGCGGGAUGACGGCCUUCGGGUUGUAAACCGCUUUCGCCUGUGACGAAGCGUGAGUGACGGUAAUGGGUAAAGAAGCACCGGCUAACUACGUG
Molecule: ribosomal RNA, 468 nt
Filed under: uncultured bacterium
Lineage: Bacteria
Description: partial 16S ribosomal RNA
Rfam family: Bacterial small subunit ribosomal RNA
Source: RNAcentral